AGUGUUUGGCAGUAGAACUGCUGGAGAAAAGCUCUGAUGGCGCGCGGUUUUGUUGAGGACGAACCCAAAGGCGCCGAGGGAAGGAAUUGAAGAUCGCGACCUGAGUAGAAUACACUACAGUCUGCCGUGCUCAUCUCAUUGGGCUCCAGUUCCGGCCAUACAGUGUUCCUAUUCGGCCCAACUAGUUCGAUUCUUCCGAAAAAAAUGCAACACAUACUACUUUAAUUUUAAGUUAUUGCAUUGUAUGUCAUUAUAGUCCGUUUAUCGCUGCAUUCGAAGCUCGUUAGCUGGUUUCUAGUAGUCCAUUCGGUAAACAUCUGAUGUGGGCGUCCACGUGAAUCUCACCCGUGUUAGAGAUGGCAAUGGUAACGUUGCUAUAGUUAUUUGUCGGACCCUCAACAAAUCAAACAUUAGAAAAUUUGAGUUGACCGAAAAUAGGGGUACUUUUGUCUUUUCAAAUUUAUUAUCUGGCGGGGUGGUUUGGUCAUUUAAAAAAGAAUUAUUUCGCUUACCAGUAGUUAUCCCUUACCAGAAUGAAUGGAAAACGGCUGUCGUGCAUGGAGAGCUUGAACAUUUAUCCAAUGGAAAGGAUAAUGUCUCCUCCUGCGCUUGACAAAUGACAAACUAGGUUGAGAAAUUGACAAAACUAUGUUGACAAAUGUCGGCUACCCGUGAAAAAAGGGAUUAACCCAAAAAAAAGAUCAUGUUAUAAAUACCUGGAGAAGAGCUAGAGCUGUACUUCAGUAAACAGUAGUAGCAGUCUACCACCAUAUAUAGCUAGAGAAGACCAACCUUAAGUUUGAUUAUGAUGGCUUCCUCUCUGGCUGUGUCUGCCACUAGCCUAGUUGUUACCGCUGCUGUAAUGUCUUCCCAUCAAGGAACACACCCAACUUUUUCCUUGCUAAUAACAAAUCCACAUCGCCACUGAAACCCAUCAUCUCAUGCCAUGCCGGUGUUGGUUCCUUGCGAAGCAAGGCUCAUCAGGAUGGUUCUUUGUUCGGCAAGGCUCAUCGGGAUGGUUCCUUGUUUGGCGGCCAGGGUGCCAUGUUCGGCAAGGCUCAUCAGGAUGGUUCCGUGUUUGUCGGUCAGAGUUCAUUGUUCGGGAAGGCUCAUCAGGAUGGUUCCGUGUUUGUCGGCCAGAGUUCAUUGUUCGGCAAGGCUCAUCAGGAUGGUUCCUUGUUCGGCGGCCAGGGUGCCAUGUUCGGCAAGGCUCAUCAGGAUGGUUCCGUGUUUGUCGGCCAGAGUUCAUUGUUUGGCAAGACUCAUCAAGAUGGUUCCUUGUUCGGCGGCCAGGGUGCCAUGUUCGGCAAGGCUCAUCAGGAUGGUUCCGUGUUUGUCGGCCAGAGUUCAUUGUUUGGCAAGGCUCAUCAAGAUGGUUCCUUGUUCGGCGACCAGGGUGCCAUGUUCUGCAAGGCUCAUCAGGAUGGUUCCGUGUUUGUCGGCCAGAGUUCAUUGUUUGGCAAGGCUCAUCAAGAUGGUUCCUUGUUCGGCGACCAGGGUGCCAUGUUCUGCAAGGCUCAUCAGGAUGGUUCCGUGUUUGUCGGCCAGAGUUCAUUGUUUGGCAAGGCUCAUCAAGAUGGUUCCUUGUUCGGCGGCCAGGAUGCCAGGUUCGGCAAGGCUCAUCAAGAUGUCCAUCAGGAUGGUCAUCAUGAUGGUUCCUUGUUCGGCGGCCAAGGUGCCAUGUUCGGCAAGGCUCAUCAGGAUGCCCAUCAGGAUGGUACCUUGUUUGGAAAGGCUCGUGUCGAAGGCGAUUUAGGCGAUGGUUCCUUGUUCGGCAAAGGUCAAGAUGUCAAGAGGGGUGACAACUUUGUUGCAGC
RNAcentral lists this long non-coding RNA (1817 nucleotides) under Linum usitatissimum (flax). RNAcentral describes it as "long non-coding RNA (LUSI_LNC006108)". Lineage: Eukaryota; Viridiplantae; Streptophyta; Magnoliopsida; Malpighiales; Linaceae. The record is from RNAcentral.